This 1789-nucleotide unclassified non-coding RNA is filed under the name Polistes dominula (European paper wasp). RNAcentral describes it as "solute carrier family 25 member 36-A, transcript variant X3". Lineage: Eukaryota; Metazoa; Arthropoda; Insecta; Hymenoptera; Vespidae. The record is from RNAcentral.
CAGGAUAGUAUUACUAAUUUUAGAAAGUUAACAUCAAUUUUCCACGGUCUCCUUCACGUAACUCGUAUGACGAGAAGUAAUUUGCGUAUAAUCAUUAAAAUUGCUACUUCAGGUGCAACUAUUCUUUUUUACUAACUAACGCAAUCAUUUUUAUUUCAUUGAAGAGUCUUAUAAAAGCGGUAAACAGUUAACAUGUGUUUAGUAUAAAUCAGUGAACAGUUAAUAAAAAGUUUCUUCGUAUGUUUUUGAACGAUAGACGCAUAUCACACAAUAAUCUUCAAUUUUUGUUGAUUAAUCGAAAUUCAAGUGUUGCUGGUACAACAGGAGCUAUAGUGACCUGUCCCCUCGAAGUGGUUAAGACACGUUUACAAUCCUCUUCGUCUGGCUUCCACCCGCCACCAGUGAAUAAAGAGUUUACGUCCGGUCAUGUCACGUGUAAAAGUUUUCCAACACCGGAGCAAAGGAGGAGAUUGUGUACCGGAGGAUAUCCAAGGUGUUCCUUUCUGGCUCUUUCACAUUGUGGCGUGUCGACACCACCAGGUGGUAGUCCACACGCUUAUCCAACACCCGGUAUUAUCCAGUGUAUAAGAUACAUCAUUAAGAAUGAAGGUGUGCGUGCCCUUUUCCAAGGUCUCGGACCAAAUCUCGUUGGUGUUGCACCUUCUAGGGCAAUCUACUUCUGUGCAUAUUCAAAAAGCAAAAUUGCUUUUAACACGAUACUACCUCCGGAUACUCCGAUAGUCCACGUAUUUUCGGCAUUUUGCGCUGGUUUUGUGGCAUGCACAUUGACAAAUCCUAUUUGGUUUAUCAAAACUAGACUUCAGCUGGAUCAUCGAACGAACAAAAUCACUUCGAUAGAAUGUAUGCGGAGGAUAUAUCGACAGUCGGGUUUCCUAGGCUUUUAUAAGGGUAUUGUGGCGUCCUACGUAGGUAUAAGUGAGACUGUGAUACACUUUGUGAUUUACGAAGCUGUAAAGGCAUGGCUUGCGGCAAGGACGAGAGUUCCUUCUUCAAGAGGAGACGAUAGAAAAACCUUACGUGACUUUGUAGAAUUUAUGGUAGCUGGUUCGUUUUCCAAAACAAUCGCUUCAACGUUAGCUUAUCCUCAUGAAGUGGCAAGAACACGUUUACGCGAGGAAGGUACAAAGUAUCGAACCUUUGGUCAAACUUUAAACACCGUAUAUAAUGAAGAAGGAACCAGGGGUUUGUACCGUGGACUUGGAACUCAUUUGGUAAGACAGAUUCCAAAUACAGCUAUAAUAAUGGCCACUUACGAAGCUGUAGUCUACAUCCUGACGCGACAUUUCCAUUCAACCACUGUAAAUACAACGAACACAAGGACACAGUUUUAUGCUGAGACUAAAGCAAAGAGGGAAUUGGCCUAGGAUUUGCUAAAAGGUCCUGAAUAAAGGGCCUUCGUUCUAAAUGCUAAGAUUCGUGUUCUGAGGGCCACGUUUCAUCAGGUUUUCAUUGUCCUCCUCCUGCUCUUCAUCCUCAUUAUCAUCGAGGAAAUAUUUAGAGAUACCAUGGAAGAGAUGAUGAUGGUGAGAAGUCCUUUGGAGCACAAUUACGAUUGUUACAUUGAAAGUAGCAACAAAAGGUAGCGACUAAAACGCAUACGCAUGGAAUCCUGUUGUCUUGUGUACCUUGUAUACCAAACGGGUCAAUACCAAGUGAGGGCUGAUUUAAAGCUGGAACAAUGUGCUGACACACGUUGCUUUUUUUCCUUUUUUCUUCUAUCUCUAUCUUUAUCUUUAUCUUUUUCUCUUUCUCUUUCUCUCUCUCUCUC